AUUUAGCUGGCAGAUAAAUUGGUGCAAUAAGUGACCUGACAUUUCUUUCUUGUUCGACCAUGUUGUACAGUGAAAAUUGACAAAAUCUUGUUCCAAUUGAAAAUAUUUUAUCCUGGUUGUGUAGAUGGUUAAUCCUGAAAACGACCCAGAUUUUCCAUCCCAUAGCAGAAGAGCUCAGCUGUGGCUGUGUGCUCGUUAUUCCCAGCUGGCUGGUGUUAUUAUUCGGCUACUCUCAUUUUGGGCUAUUGUUCUAGUUCACCUUAAAACAGCUGCAUUAAAAACAUCUUUGGGAAUGGCAGGGGCACCAUUUUCUGGGCAGUUGAGGACUUCAAAGCAUGACAGCCAAAUAGGCAGAUGGAGUCAAUCUGCAGAAGUCAGCUCAAAAUCAAUAAGACGAUACAUUUCAGACUGAAACACUUACUGCAUAAUAACAACAACCUGAGUCAGAUGCAAGAUGCAUAACUGUGAAAAAUAUGUUCAUUGCUUCUCGUGAAGCCUGCCAGUUUGGGAAAGAGAGAGCCUGGCUUACGCUCAAGGUUUUGGGAUUGUAUCAUAAUUUUGAAUGGAGCCCAGGAUGCAGCUGAAAUGGGAGAGUCAAAGAGCCAGAGGACUUUCUGAUAUUAAAAGCACUACUGGAAAAAUAUGAAAUGGACAAAGAAAAAAUCAAUCAGAUGAAAGCUGUAAUUAGCCCACGUGUGCUCCUUGCAAGAACGGCUGCACUGCGCUCUUGGUGCACACAGGACAGAACUAAUGCCAGCUCUGCUUGCUCUCCUCACACUGCCUUGCUCAGCAGCUUCCCUGUUCAAGAGGGGUAACACUGGUGAAAUCAAGCCUAUAGCCAAUCCUUUUUUAUAAUCUCUCUUUUGAAUGACAGACCCCUGACUUGGAUCAGUAUGUCCAAAGACAUCAUUGUGGUUUUGCUUCCGAGUUGGCUGAUGGGAACAAAUGCUUCAUUUCUGUACUCCGUGGGUGGUUCGAGCCAAGCUCAUCUUGAUGGCAAGCAAUAUGCAAUUCUGAAAUAAAUGUCCCUUCAUUCAAUUAUAUAGGAAAUAA
This 1053-nucleotide long non-coding RNA is filed under the name Anser brachyrhynchus (Pink-footed goose). RNAcentral describes it as "lncRNA (ENSABRG00000014033.1)". Lineage: Eukaryota; Metazoa; Chordata; Aves; Anseriformes; Anatidae. The record is from RNAcentral.